RNAcentral lists this ribosomal RNA (406 nucleotides) under uncultured bacterium. Its description in RNAcentral is "partial 16S ribosomal RNA". It matches the Rfam family "Bacterial small subunit ribosomal RNA", at positions 30 to 526 of the family's 1533-position model. The record is from RNAcentral.
AUUGAACGCUGGCGGCAGGCUUAACACAUGCAAGUCGAGCGAGCGGCGGACGGGUGAGUAAUGUCUGGGACACUGCCUGAUGGAGGGGGAUAACUACUGGAAACGGUAGCUAAUACCGCAUACCAUCAGAUGUGCCCAGAUGGGAUUAGCGAGUUGGUGGGGGAAUGGCUCACCUAGGCGACUAUCCCUAGCUGGUCUUAGAGGAUGACCAGCCACACUAGAAGUGAGACACGGUCCGGACUCCGACGGGAGGCAGCAGUGGGGAAUAUUGCACAGUGGGGGCAGGCCUGAUGCAGCCAUGCCGCGUGUGGGAAGAAGGCCUUCGGGUUGUAAAGGACUUUCAGCGAGGAGGCGUUACUCGCAGAAGAAGCACCGGCUAACUCCGUGCCAGCAGCCGCGGUAAUAC